Molecule: ribosomal RNA, 413 nt
Filed under: uncultured bacterium
Lineage: Bacteria
Description: bacterial SSU rRNA
Rfam family: Bacterial small subunit ribosomal RNA
Source: RNAcentral
GUGCCAGCCGCCGCGGUAAUACGUAGGGGGCGAGCGUUGUCCGGAAUUACUGGGCGUAAAGGGUGCGUAGGCGGUAUGUUAAGUCAGGUGUGAAAUCCCACGGCUCAACUGUGGUGUUGCACUUGAAACUGGCAUGCUAGAGUGCAGGAGAGGGAAGUGGAAUUCCUAGUGUAGCGGUGAAAUGCGUAGAGAUUAGGAGGAACACCAGUGGCGAAGGCGGCUUCCUGGCCUGUAACUGACGCUGAGGCACGAAAGCGUGGGUAGCGAACAGGAUUAGAUACCCUGGUAGUCCACGCCGUAAACGAUGGAUACUAGGUGUAGGAGGUAUCGACCCCUUCUGUGCCGUAGUUAACGCAAUAAGUAUCCCGCCUGGGGAGUACGGCCGCAAGGCUAAAACUCAAAUGAAUUGACGG